UCAUAUCACGUUGAAACACCGAUUCUCGUACGAUCGAAGGAGUUAAGCAACGUUAAGCCUGGUCAGUACCUAGAUGGGUGACCCCUUGGGAAUACUAGGCGCUGUAAG
Acanthosepion pharaonis is the source of this 108-nucleotide non-coding RNA. NCBI's taxonomy places the organism in Eukaryota, Metazoa, Mollusca, Cephalopoda, Sepiida, Sepiidae. The record is from the annotation of a GenBank genome assembly.